UAAAUACUCCUUCCGUCCGGAAAUAGUUGUCAUCAAAAUGGAUAGAAGGGGAUGUAUCUAGACGUAUUUUAGUUCUAGAUACAUCUCUUUUUAUCUAUUUUGAUGACAAGUAUUUUCGGACGGAGGGAGUAUAAG
Triticum aestivum (bread wheat) is the source of this 135-nucleotide non-coding RNA. The record is from Rfam. NCBI's taxonomy places the organism in Eukaryota, Viridiplantae, Streptophyta, Magnoliopsida, Poales, Poaceae.